GGGUCGGCGGCGCUCGGGGACGGUGGACUCCUCGCCUAGGACGGCGCGAGCGAGCGGUGGCGCCACGGGAGCUCCGGCGAGGACGGGCGGGCGGCGUCCGGCGGCUAUAGUGCACAAAGCGAGGAACCAGCCGCGUCAAAAGAAGCGCAAAGGGGAGGGGAGAAGGAGCAAGUGCGCGGGGUCGCCUCACACCUUGUGGUUAGCCGGCGGUGACCUCGGAAAGGCGGCGGCGCGAGCUAGGGUUUCGGGGGAAAAUCCGGCAGCGUGGUCGCGAAAUCAAGCGGGGGAGUAGGGGGAAAAAGGAGAGGGGAGCUCGCCUUUUAUGGUGACGCGCUCGGGCUGUCGCGGGGAGCACGGGGACGGCGGAUCCCGGUAAUGGCGGCGGCGCGGAUCACGCGCGUGACCGGCGGGGGUUUCCCCGGCGGGGAAGACGACCCCGACAGGUGGGGCCCACCUGUCGGUGGCUCACGCUGCGCGCGCAGCCUGGGCCGGCUCGGUUCGGGCGGCUCGGGCGGGACUGGGCCGGUUCGGCCCAAAACGGUCGGGCCGGUCCGGUUUUCCCCUUUUUUUUUUUUUCUUUAGCCUUUUCUCUUUUUUUUCUGUUUUUCUUAUUUCUUUGAUAUCUUUUGAUUUUGAACUCCAAAUUGGUCCAAAUAAAUCCCAGAGAAUUUGAAAAAUCAUGCUCUACCAUGAUACAACUUUUGGAAGUAGUUUCUCUUCAAAAUAAAGUAUAUAAAAAUACAUUUGCCCUAUAAAUGCCUUUAGGGCCAUAUAUCUAUUUAAAUAAAAUACUUUUUCAACUCCAAUUAGUUAACCAAAAAUUAUGGGAUAGCUUAUAUAUGCAUUAAACCCUUUUUAUACAUCAACCCUAUUGGUUUGAAAAUCCAAAGGUUACAGGGAUGUAAACAAAAUCUCUUAAAGCCUUUUGUGAUUCCAAAUUUGAAUUCAAACAUGCAAUUGUGGCAUGAUGCUCAUGGGUGCAAUGCACAUGUAAAGGUUUGAAAUUUUGGGAUGUUACAGCCAGGAAGUGGACCCAUAGCCAAGAGACCAUAUAAGAUGGCUGUGGACGAGUUGAAAGAAUUGAAGAAGCAGCUAGCUGAAC
This 1102-nucleotide long non-coding RNA is filed under the name Brachypodium distachyon (stiff brome). RNAcentral describes it as "long non-coding RNA (BDIS_LNC000764)". The record is from RNAcentral. Lineage: Eukaryota; Viridiplantae; Streptophyta; Magnoliopsida; Poales; Poaceae.